This 260-nucleotide ribosomal RNA is filed under the name uncultured bacterium. RNAcentral describes it as "partial 16S ribosomal RNA". It matches the Rfam family "Bacterial small subunit ribosomal RNA", at positions 334 to 586 of the family's 1533-position model. The record is from RNAcentral.
CAAGCCUACGGGGGGCAGCAGUAGGGAAUCUUCCACAAUGGACGAAAGUCUGAUGGAGCAACGCCGCGUGAGUGAAGAAGGGUUUCGGCUCGUAAAACUCUGUUGGGAGUGAAGAAAGAUAGAGGUAGUAACUGGCCUUUAUUUGACGGUAAUUACUUAGAAAGUCACGGCUAACUACGUGCCAGCAGCCGCGGUAAUACGUAGGUGGCAAGCGUUGUCCGGAUUUAUUGGGCGUAAAGCGAGGGCAGGCGGGUCAAUAA